AGUGGGAUCAUUGGGCGGUGGGCGGUGUGGAGGAGUCUCCGCUGGUCCGCAGAAACGAACGAAGGCGCGAGAAUCGGGAAGUUCUGCCUCAGUGACCUGUACGCGUCCUAGCCGCAGUGAAUGUUGCUGAACCCCGGUGACCUCACAGUGGAGGGGCGGCCCCAUGGGGCCAUCGGACCGCGCCGCGCGGGGGCGUUCGCCAGGGCCUCCGCAGAAGCCCGCCUGUGCCCGCAACCGCCCCGAAAUUCUCUCCCUGGCACCGUGUCCGCUUUACGGAGCCCGGAGCAAGGCUCAGAAAAAUGUCCCAGCCAAAAACAUGGUACAUGCCUGUCAUCAGGCAAGUCUUCAAAGAGCGGCUGGGACCAGGGGCCGAGGGACCUCGUUUAGAGGCGGCUUAGGGGGAAGGUCAGCAGUUGUGUUUCAGUUGUGUUGGGUUUUCGGCGCCCCACAAUGCGGGCGACGUAUGGGCCACAGGUGUGGAUGCCAGGGACAGGUCGCCCUGCACAUGGCUGAGGCACGGUAGGCUUGUAGUCUACCCCAUAUCAGGCCAUGGUGAUCUCAGGUAUGGGGGCCUGGGAGAGGAGAGUGAGUACAUGGCUGAGUACGUCAGAGCACGGGGUCAGGGACACAUCAGGGGAGGACGCUGGCAGGAGAAUAACCGGGCUCCUGGGUGUCCUCCGCUGAAUUCAGACGCGUUCAUGUUAGAGCAGGUGGGCCUGCGUCCUCCCGGACGAACGGAGUUCUUAGGCAAGGUCCAGAGGAGCUUCUACCUGAAGUGGUGCUGGAGAACUUUGCACUCAGUGCUGGGUGAGACCACUGGCACCAUAACUCUCCCCAGCCUCAACUCUGGUUUUUUUCCUCUGUUCUUUCCAUGUUCCCCUUGGAAGUCGCUGUUGGUCGUGGCACUGAGGCCCAGAUCAUGCCACCUCCUCUAACAAGUGGCUGAGUGGACACCCCACACAUUCUACCCAAGGGCCGUGAGUGGCCAAGAUCGGGGCUCAGAAGUCUCUGAAUCUUCACAGCUGGUCACGUUCAGCUCGGUCACUUCCUGUCUGUGUUUGUCUUGGAGUAAGGAUUAUUCUCGCUUGCUGGGGUCAUGGUGUUUUGGCCUCUCCUGGCCUGGACUCUCAAAAACUCAUCAUCCUUCAUAGGUCUGAAGGCUUCUACAUUCCCACCAGCAGGUGGACCAUAUGAACUCAAAACUAGUUGUGGCAGAGGGACCCUGAAGAGAUCUACCCCUGGUGAAUGCCCCCAGGAGUGGGCUGUUCUCACACCUGGUGCCCAGCCUGUGCCCUCGCAGGUCUUGGUGCCUCCACUCAGCUCAAUUCCAGUUUUCUGGCCAUGCCCCGCUGUGUCCCUUUCUCUCUCCUUAGUGCCUAGCUGUGCAAUGUUUGCCUCUCCUUAACAUGUCCUCAGCUGACCCCAUAUCCUCAGUCCUUGCAACCCUGUUCCUCAGUGACACCUGUGUAUUCUCUCCAGUGGAGACACAGGUGGGACACCCCCAAGCUCAUGGUACAUGCCUGUCAUCAGUACCCCUGGACUGUCAUGGUGGGUCAGUCUGCCCUAGGCUGGACUGACCAACCUGUUCAUUCCCCCACAGGAUUGCCCUUUACAGUUCAUGAGUUCCCCCAACUGGAGUGCAGACAAGAGCACUGAUUGAUGGACCAGGUAGACUUGAAACCAGGAAUAGCACAAAAGUUAUCAAAGAGGCUCAGCCAUGGAGAUUGCAAGCUGGGGAUGGAAGUAUCCCUGGAAUUGAGCUGUUCUCACACCUGGUACCUGAGUUAUACCCCUGGUGUCUGGGUACCAAGGUCACUAGCCUUGCCACUUUUCUAUGUUCCUGAUCCCCUACUAAACAGUCCACCUUUUCGCCUACUUCCCCUGACUCCUGUACCCUGUCCCCUCUUUCUGCCUAGUUUGAAGACACUGGUCAUCCCAUAACAUGUCCUGGGCUAAUACAUAUCCUCAAAUCGUUCUUGAAAAUCUGUUCCUCUUCCCUCCUCCCCCUCCCCCUCCCCCCCCCCCCGCUCUUUCCACGGUCUCCCUCUGAUGCCGAGCCGAAGCUGGACGGUACUGCUGCCAUCUCGGCUCACUGCAACCUCCCUGCCUGAUUCUCUUGCCUCAGCCUGCCGAGUGCCUGCGAUUGCAGGCGCGUGCCGCCACGCCUGACUGGUUUUCGUAUUUUUUUUGGUGGAGACGGGGUUUCGCUGUGUUGGCCGGGCUGGUCUCCAGCUCCUAACCACGAGUGAUCCGCCAGCCUCGGCCUCCCGAGGUGCCGGGAUUGCAGACGGAGUCUCGUUCAUUCAGUGCUCAAUGGUGUCCAGGCUGGAGUGCAGUGGCGUGAUCUCGGCUCGCUACAACCUCCACCUCCCAGCAACCCGCCUUGGCCUCCCAAAGUGCCGAGAUUGCAGCCUCUGCCCGGCGGCCACCCCGUCUGGGAAGUGAGGAGCGUCUCCGCCUGGCCGCCCAUCAUCUGGGAUGUGAGGAGCCCCUCUGCCUGGCUGCCCAGUCUGGAAAGUGAGGAGCGUCUCUGCCCGGCCGCCAUCCCAUCUAGGAAGUGAGGAGCGCCUCUUCCCGGCCGCCAUCACAUCUGGGAAGUGAGGAGCGUCUCUGCCCGGCCGCCCAUCGUCUGAGAUGUGGGGAGCAUCUCUGCCCUGCCGCCCCGUCCGGGAUGUGAGGAGCGUCUCUGCCCGGCCGCCCCGUCUGAGAAGUGAGGAGACCCUCUGCCUGGCAACUGCCCCGUCUGAGAAGUGAGGAGCCCCUCCGCCCGGCAGCCGCCCCGUCUGAGAAGUGAGGAGCCCCUCCGCCCAGCAGCCACCCCGUCUGGGAAGUGAGGAGCAUCUCCGCCCGGCAGCCGCCCCGUCUGAGAAGUGAGGAGCCUCUCCGCCCAGCAGCCACCUCGUCCGGGAGGGAGGUGGGGGGGUCAGCCCCCCGCCCGGCCAGCCGCCCCGUCCGGGAGGGAGGUGGGGGGAUCAGUCCCCCACCCGGCCAGCCGCCCUGUCCGGGAGAUGAGGGGCGCCUCUGCCCGGCCGCCCCUACUGGGAAGUGAGGAGCCCUUCUGCCCGGCCAGCCGCUCCGUCCGGGAGGGAGGUGGGGGGGUCAGCCCCCCGCCCGGCCAGCCGCCCUGUCCGGAAGGGAGGUGGGGGGGUCAGCCCCCCGCGCGGCCAGCCGACCCGUCCGGGAGGGAGGUGGGGGGGUCAGCCCCCUGCCCGGCCAGCCGCCCCGUCCGGGAGGUGCGGGGCGCCUCUGCCCGGCCGCCCCUACUGGGAAGUGAGGAGCCCCUCUGCCCGGCCAGCCGCCCCAUCUGGGAGGGAGGUGGGGGGGUCAGCCCCCCGCCCUGCCAGCCGCCCUGUCCGGGAGGGAGCUCUGCCUGGCCAGCCGCCCCGUCCAGGAGGGAGGUGGGGGGGGGGGUCAGCCCCCCGCCUGGCGAGCCGCCCUGUCCGGGAGGUGAGGGGCGCCUCUGCCCGGCCGCCCCUACUGGGAAAUGAGGAGCCCCUCUGCCCGGCCACCACCCCAUCUGGGAGGUGUACCCAACAGCUCGUUGAGAACGGGCCAUGAUGACAAUGGCGGUUUUGUGGAAUAGAAAGGGGGGAAAGAUGGGGAAAAGAUUGAGAAAUCGGAUGGUUGCCGUGUCUGUGUAGAAAGAGGUAGACGUGGGAGACUUUUCAUUUUGUUCUGUACUAAGAAAAAUUCUUCUGCCUUGGGAUCCUGUUGAUCUGUGACCUUACCCCCAACCCUGUGCUCUCUGAAACAUGUGCUGUAUCCACUCAGGGUUGAAUGGAUUAAGGGCGGUGCAAGAUGUGCUUUGUUAAACAGAUGCUUGAAGGCAGCAUGCUCCUUAAGAGUCAUCACCACUCCCUAAUCUCAAGUACCCAGGGACACAAACACUGCGGAAGGCCGCAGGGUCCUCUGCCUAGGAAAACCAGAGACCUUUGUUCACUUGUUUAUCUGCUGACCUUCCCUCCCCUAUUGUCCUGUGACCCUGCCAAAUCCCCCUCUACGAGAAACACCCAAGAAUGAUCAAUAAAAAAAAAAGAAAAAAAAAAAAUCUGUUCCUCUGUGAGAUGGGCCUGAUCUCUCCCACGGGUGGAGCAGAGGAGUAGAGGGUCCAGGGCCUGAGUCUCCCAUAGGCUAAGUAUUUGCCCUGAGUCAUAAAGCCAGUGGGAGGCAGUGCUACAGUUUGAUUCCAGGAAGUCUCAGACCAAAGUUCUCUCUUAACCACUUACCUUUCCUGGGCUUAAUAGUUAGUUCAUUUAUGUUUUUCCUGGCACUACUUCAUUGGACCUCAUUUUAGUUUCUUCUUUUUUUUUUUUUUUUUUGAGACGGAGUUGCUCUGACACCCAGGCUGGAGUGCAGUGCCACGAUCUCACAGUAACCUCCGCCUCCCGGGUUCAAGCAAUUCUGUCUCAGCCUCACGAAUAGCUGGGACGACAAGCGCGUGCCACCACACCCGGCUAAUUUUUGUAUUUUUAGUAGAGUUGGGGUUUCACCAUUUUGGCCAGGAUGGUCUCCAUCUCCUGACCUCGUGAUCCGCCCCGCUCAGCCUCCCAAAAUGCUGGGAUUACAGGCAUGAGCUACCGCACCCGGCCCAUUUGUUAACAUUGUAAAAUGAAUAUUAGUACAUUAUUAUUAAUGUACAUUAUAUGGGUUUUCACAAAUGCAUAAAUUCAUGUAUCCACCAUUACAAUAUAGUACAAAAUACUUUUACUGCCCCCAAAAAUUACUUGUGCUACUAUUCAUUCCUCCCUCCCUCCCUCCCUCCCUCCCACUGAGUCCCUGGCAGUCACUGCUUUACUGUCUCUAUAGCUUUACCUUUUCCAGAAUGUCAUAAACUUGUAAUCAUACAGUAUGUAGCUUUUUCAGUCUGGCUUCUGUCACUUACCAAUGUGCAUUUCAGACUCCUCCAUGCCUUUCAUAACUUGGUAGCACAGUUAAUUUUAUUGCUGAAUGAUAUUCCAUUGUGUGGAUGUAACACAGAUUAGCCAUUUAUCUAUUGAAGGACAUCUGGGUUGAUUCAAGUUUUGAGCAAUUAUGAAUAAAGCUGCUAUAAUAAUUUGUGUGGUUUUCGCAUGGACAUAAGUUCUCAACUCAUUUGUGCAAAUACCCAGGAGUGUGAUUGCUGUAUCAUAUGGUAAGACUAUAUUUAACUUUCUGUAAGAAACUGCCAAACUGUCUUCCAAAGUGGCUAUACCAUUUUGCCUUUCUAUCAGCAGUAAACGAGAGUUCCCAUUGCCUCACAACCUUGCUAGCAUAUGGUGCUAUCAGUGUUUUGCAUUGUAGCCAUUCUAAUAGAUGUAUAGUAGUAUCUCAUUAUUGUUUCAAUUUGCAGUUCCCUAAUGGCAUAUGAUGUGGAGCAUAUUUUCAUGUGCCUAUUUGCCAGCUAUGUAUCUAUUUUUCUUAGGUGAGGGGUCUAUUCAGACCUACGGCCUUUUUUUUUUUUUUUUUUUUUUUUUGAGACGCAGUUUCGCUCUUGUUGCCCAGGCUGGAGUGCAAUGGUGCAAUCUCGGCUCGCCGCAACCUCCGCCUCCCGAGUUCAAGCGAUUCUCCUGCCUGUCAGCCUCCCGAGGAGCUGGGAUAACAGGCAUGUGCCACCACGCCCAGCUAAUUUUGUAUUUUUAGUACAGAUGGGGUUUCUCCAUGUUGGUCAGGCUGGUCUCGAACUCCUGACCUCAGGUGAUCCGCCCACCUCAGCCUCCCAAAGUGGUGGGAUUACAGGCGUGAGCCACCGCGCCCAGCCUUGAAUUGUACACUCAAAAUGGGCAAAUUAUAUGGUAUGUAAAUUGUUUUUUAAAAAAAUCUGUUAUGUUUUGAAAGAACAAGUAGAUGUCUGGGAGAUUCUUUGGAGAAGUACUUAAUGUGAAAUUUUCCACAACGAUAAAAAUGAAAGCACCCAUCCCCCUGGUGGGGGGACACAGAUCACAGGUAGCUUGUGGCCCCUCUUGGGCACUUCUUCUCCCACCACCCUCUGCUCCUUCUGCAGAGGCUUACAGAGCAGAGGAAACCCCAACCUAGGGCGAGACUCCCAGCUUUGCCACGCCAAGCCGGGCCCCAGGGGAGCCAGUGCGAACUCUAGCCUACUCCCUGGGAUGAGAGGACCUCAGCACUAACCAGGUCUGCAAGUGGGUGUGGGGUUAGAGUGGAUCAACUAUGUGAUCCUAUCAACCUACGUUCGAAUUUGACUGCAUUUAAAAAAACACUUUACCCCCCCAAACGGAGUCUCUCGCUCUGUCGCCCGGGCUGGAGUGCAGUGGCGCGAUUUCGGCUCACUGAAGCCUCCGCCUCCCGGCUUCAAGCGAUUCUCCUGCCUCAGCCUCCCGAGUGGUUGGGACUACAGGCGCCCGC
RNAcentral lists this long non-coding RNA (6342 nucleotides) under Homo sapiens (human). RNAcentral describes it as "non-protein coding lnc-ZNF837-1:6". Lineage: Eukaryota; Metazoa; Chordata; Mammalia; Primates; Hominidae. The record is from RNAcentral.